RNAcentral lists this ribosomal RNA (496 nucleotides) under uncultured bacterium. RNAcentral describes it as "partial 16S ribosomal RNA". It matches the Rfam family "Bacterial small subunit ribosomal RNA", at positions 28 to 507 of the family's 1533-position model. The record is from RNAcentral.
GAUGAACGCUGGCGGCGUGCCUAAUACAUGCAAGUCGAGCGAACGGACGAGAAGCUUGCUUCUCUGAUGUUAGCGGCGGACGGGUGAGUAACACGUGGAUAACCUACCUAUAAGACUGGGAUAACUUCGGGAAACCGGAGCUAAUACCGGAUAAUAUUUUGAACCGCAUGGUUCAAAAGUGAAAGACGGUCUUGCUGUCACUUAUAGAUGGAUCCGCGCUGCAUAGCUAGUUGGUAAGGUAACGGCUUACCAAGGCAACGAUGCAUAGCCGACCUGAGAGGGUGAUCGGCCACACUGGAACUGAGACACGGUACAGACUCCUACGGGAGGCAGCAGUAGGGAAUCUUCCGCAAUGGGGGAGAGCCUGACGGAGCAACGCCGCGUGAGUGAUGAAGGUCUUCGGAUCGUAAAACUCUGUUAUUCGGGAAGAACAUAUGUGUAAGUAACUGUGCACAUCUUGACGGUACCUAAUCAGAAAGCCACGGCUAACUACGUG